Molecule: long non-coding RNA, 610 nt
Filed under: Eucalyptus grandis
Lineage: Eukaryota; Viridiplantae; Streptophyta; Magnoliopsida; Myrtales; Myrtaceae
Description: long non-coding RNA (EGRA_LNC007294)
Source: RNAcentral
GCUUUACAAUAUGGCUUUUAAAUGCUUUCUUUUUUAUAAAGACAAUGCCAGGUCGCUGUCUGUACUUUUAUUUCGAUUUUACCAUAGUGCAUUUUCUUUCAGUACAUUGAUUGUCAAUUUUUACUUUUAGCAUGAUUAGGUUAAAUCAUUAGUACCAUAAUAAACAAUCAUCGCUUGGACACUUAAUGGACAAGAAUCUUAAGCCUCAUAAUUUGUACAAAAAGCAUCCUCGGUCACUAUAGUCAACAAAUGAUCAAGUUUAGGUACCGAAGAGCAUUAAUUAGACUAUUAGUAUAAUUAAGUCCAUGAUCCUUAAACCACAUGUUUCGUAAAAAGUGAAGUAUACUUCUAUGGCUCACCUAAUUUGUAGCUAACUCGAAUAGAUUAGUUGCGACUCCUCAUUUAAAAACCCUCAUAGUGUCAAUUGAUGUUAAAAUCAAAUAUCUUAAAGUCACGUGAGAUAUGGGUUUGGGAAAGUUUGCACCUAAUUGAAGGCCCGUCUCUUAAGCAAUACUCUUGAACUUAUUGUCUUUUCCCCUUUGAAAGAAAAAAGUAGGUCGCAACAAAUUGCCAUAGCUCGAACAGAAUUUAUUGAUGCUUUAAAUUGUGU